CAAAGUGAAGAUGGCGACCGGCGCACGGGUGAGUAACACGUAUCCAACCUGCCGAUAACUCGGGGAUAGCCUUUCGAAAGAAAGAUUAAUACCCGAUGGUAUAAUAAAGCCGCAUGGUUUAAUUAUUAAAGAAUUUCGGUUAUCGAUGGGGAUGCGUUCCAUUAGGCAGUUGGUGGGGUAACGGCCCACCAAACCUUCGAUGGAUAGGGGUUCUGAGAGGAAGGUCCCCCACAUUGGAACUGAGACACGGUCCAA
This 255-nucleotide ribosomal RNA is filed under the name uncultured bacterium. RNAcentral describes it as "partial 16S ribosomal RNA". It matches the Rfam family "Bacterial small subunit ribosomal RNA", at positions 77 to 334 of the family's 1533-position model. The record is from RNAcentral.